RNAcentral lists this ribosomal RNA (486 nucleotides) under uncultured bacterium. RNAcentral describes it as "partial 16S ribosomal RNA". It matches the Rfam family "Bacterial small subunit ribosomal RNA", at positions 30 to 507 of the family's 1533-position model. The record is from RNAcentral.
AUUGAACGCUGGCGGCAUGCCUUGCACAUGCAAGUUGAACGGCAGCACGGGUGCUUGCACCUGGUGGCGAGUGGCGAACGGGUGAGUAAUACAUCGGAACAUGUCCUGUAGUGGGGGAUAGCCCGGCGAAAGCCGGAUUAAUACCGCAUACGAUCUACGGAUGAAAGCGGGGGACCUUCGGGCCUCGCGCUAUAGGGUUGGCCGAUGGCUGAUUAGCUAGUUGGUGGGGUAAAGGCCUACCAAGGCGACGAUCAGUAGCUGGUCUGAGAGGACGACCAGCCACACUGGGACUGAGACACGGCCCAGACUCCUACGGGAGGCAGCAGUGGGGAAUUUUGGACAAUGGGCGAAAGCCUGAUCCAGCAAUGCCGCGUGUGUGAAGAAGGCCUUCGGGUUGUAAAGCACUUUUGUCCGGAAAGAAAUCCUUGGCUCUAAUACAGUCGGGGGAUGACGGUACCGGAAGAAUAAGCACCGGCUAACUACGUG